RNAcentral lists this ribosomal RNA (130 nucleotides) under Paenibacillus campinasensis. RNAcentral's name for it is "partial 23S ribosomal RNA". It matches the Rfam family "Bacterial large subunit ribosomal RNA", at positions 2791 to 2925 of the family's 2925-position model. Lineage: Bacteria; Bacillati; Bacillota; Bacilli; Caryophanales; Paenibacillaceae. The record is from RNAcentral.
AGCCCCCCUCAAGAUGAGAUUUCCCAAUUCGUAAGACCCCUUGAAGACGACGAGGUAGAUAGGUUGGAGGUGGAAGUGCAGCAAUGCAUGGAGCUGACCAAUACUAAUCGGUCGAGGGCUUAUCCUACAA